UUUUGAGAAAAGGAAGAAGAGGCCUGACUGAUAGCCCUGGAGGAGCAGAGGAUGGAGGCGAAGAAGCCCAGAGUGAUGGCAGGCACUGUGAAGCUGGAGGACAGGCAGCGGCUGGCCCAAGAGGAGGAGAAU
This is a long non-coding RNA of Leopardus geoffroyi (Geoffroy's cat), 132 nucleotides long. RefSeq lists it as uncharacterized. Lineage: Eukaryota; Metazoa; Chordata; Mammalia; Carnivora; Felidae. The transcript is spliced from 3 exons. The record is from RefSeq and is a predicted model, not a curated record.